This 134-nucleotide transfer RNA is filed under the name Sorangium cellulosum So0157-2. RNAcentral's name for it is "tRNA-Arg (CCT) (tRNA-Arg-CCT-2-1)". It matches the Rfam family "tRNA". Rfam says of the family: Transfer RNA (tRNA) molecules are approximately 80 nucleotides in length. Their secondary structure includes four short double-helical elements and three loops (D, anti-codon, and T loops). Lineage: Bacteria; Pseudomonadati; Myxococcota; Polyangiales; Polyangiaceae. The record is from RNAcentral.
GCCAGAGUAGCUCAGCGGUAGAGCGCGAACACAACUCCGGACGGUGUUCUCCGGCGCGAUGAGCGCCGGCAGUGAGAUCCGGGGUUACUUCCCUCCUAAGGACGAGGUCGCGGGUUCGAAUCCCGCCUCUGGCA